RNAcentral lists this ribosomal RNA (1273 nucleotides) under 'Citrus sinensis' phytoplasma. RNAcentral describes it as "bacterial SSU rRNA". It matches the Rfam family "Bacterial small subunit ribosomal RNA", at positions 156 to 1425 of the family's 1533-position model. Lineage: Bacteria; Bacillati; Mycoplasmatota; Mollicutes; Acholeplasmatales; Acholeplasmataceae. The record is from RNAcentral.
ACAGUUGCUAAGACUGGAUAGGAAAUUAAAAGGCAUCUUUUAAUUUUUAAAAGACCUUUUUCGGAAGGUAUGCUUAAAGAGGGGCUUGCGCCACAUUAGUUAGUUGGUAAGGUAAAGGCUUACCAAGACGAUGAUGUGUAGCUGGACUGAGAGGUCGAACAGCCACAUUGGGACUGAGACACGGCCCAAACUCCUACGGGAGGCAGCAGUAAGGAAUUUUUGGCAAUGGAGGAAACUCUGACCGAGCGACGCCGCGUGAACAAUGAAGUACUUCGGUAUGUAAAGUUCUUUUAUUGAAAAAGAAAAAAUAGUGGAAAAACUAUCUUGACAUUAUUCAAUGAAUAAGCCCCGGCUAAUUAUGUGCCAGCAGCCGCGGUAAUACAUAAGGGGCGAGCGUUAUCCGGAAUUAUUGGGCGUAAAGGGUGCGUAGGCGGUUUGAUAAGUCUAUAGUUUAAUUGCAGUGCUUAACGCUGUACCGCUAUAGAAACUGUCUGACUAGAGUUAGAUAGAGGCAAGCGGAAUUCCAUGUGUAGCGGUAAAAUGCGUAAAUAUAUGGAGGAACACCAGAGGCGUAGGCGGCUUGCUGGGUCUUAACUGACGCUGAGGCACGAAAGCGUGGGGAGCAAACAGGAUUAGAUAUCCCGGUUAGUUCACGCCGUAAACGAUGAGUACUAAGUGUCGGGUUUUGGCUCGGUACUGAAGUUAACACAUUAAGUACUCCGCCUGAGUAGUACGUACGCAAGUAUGAAACUUAAAGGAAUUGACGGGACCCCGCACAAGCGUGGAUCAUGUUGUUUAAUUCGAAGAUACACGAAAAACCUUACCAGGUCUUGACAUAAUUUUGCGACAUUAUAGAAAUAUAAUGAAGGUUAUCAGAAUUACAGGUGGUGCAUGGUUGUCGUCAGCUCGUGUCGUGAGAUGUUAGGUUAAGUCCUAAAACGAGCGCAACCCUUGUCGUUAGUUGCGACCACAUAAUGGUGAGCACUUUAGCGAGACUGCCAAUGAAAAAUUGGAGGAAGGUGAGGAUUACGUCAAAUCAUCAUGCCCCUUAUGAUCUGGGCUACAAACGUGAUACAAUGGCUGUUACAAAGAGUAGCUACAACGUGAGUUUUUAGCCAAUCUCAAAAAAACAGUCUCAGUUCGGAUUGAAGUCUGCAACUCGACUUCAUGAAGUUGGAAUCGCUAGUAAUCGCGAAUCAGCAUGUCGCGGUGAAUACGUUCUCGGGGUUUGUACACACCGCCCGUCAAACCACGAAAGUUGAUAAUACCCAAA